UUUAUGGAGAGUUUGAUCCUGGCUCAGGAUGAACGCUGGCGGCGUGCCUAAUACAUGCAAGUCGAGCGAACGGAUGAGAAGCUUGCUUCUCUGAUGUUAGCGGCGGACGGGUGAGUAACACGUGGAUAACCUACCUAUAAGACUGGGAUAACUUCGGGAAACCGGAGCUAAUACCGGAUAAUAUUUUGAACCGCAUGGUUCAAAAGUGAAAGACGGUCUUGCUGUCACUUAUAGAUGGAUCCGCGCUGCAUUAGCUAGUUGGUAAGGUAACGGCUUACCAAGGCAACGAUGCAUAGCCGACCUGAGAGGGUGAUCGGCCACACUG
RNAcentral lists this ribosomal RNA (325 nucleotides) under Staphylococcus aureus. RNAcentral describes it as "bacterial SSU rRNA". It matches the Rfam family "Bacterial small subunit ribosomal RNA", at positions 1 to 315 of the family's 1533-position model. Lineage: Bacteria; Bacillati; Bacillota; Bacilli; Caryophanales; Staphylococcaceae. The record is from RNAcentral.